AUUAAAAAAAAAAAAGAUUCUGUACAUCCUAGCCCUAGCCGGGUAAACAGAGUUUACUGUUUGAAUGAGACGUCAACUGAUAGCAUUUUGGAAAGUGCAAAAUCACCACCACUGCUUUAAGACCUGUAAUUUUUGUAAAUGUUUCACGAACAUUUGAAACAACAAAGUCUUUUUUGGAAGUUCUAGCAAAUUUAUUAGCACUAGGGGGCUAACUUCUUUGGGUGUCAGCAGCUCAAAAAUAGUUAAGUUUACAGCAAAAGUGCAUUUAUUAGAAAAAACAGAGGUGCAUUUAUCCUUUUAGCCUUCAUUCUAGCUCGCAAACACUUCUGAUUAAAAUCUGACUUCUACUGUUGAAAGGGAGAUGUAAUUCUUUCUGAUCAAGUCAUUUUUACUAAGAGGAGCUAUGUGAUGCCUCAGGUAGCCAGUGAGGAGCCAGUGGGAAUGGUCUAGGUAAAUUCAACAAUGAGGAAAUGGUUGAUUAAAAACCGUUCAGAACACCAACACAUUUGGAGAAAUCUUCCAGUUAAUACCCUCAGUUUAUCACUGAAAUGUCCCAGAAGCUGUAGUCAGGAAUCAAAACUGGUUACACGCCAGGUUCCUGCUCUGAGGAGGUGGUCAGAUUUCCGCAGGCAAGAAAGGGUAGGGAAAGAAGACUUUCUCAAAUCCUGGUGUAUGUUUUUUGGACAUAAUCCGGAGUCGUGUUUGCCUCUGUACCCCCACUCUUUCCUGCUCUUCUGGGGGGAGCGAGCGGGGCUUCAGCCACCGGAACGAGAGUGAGGUACCUGGGUUUCUCGGAGGAGCUCUAGUCCUGAAACUAUGACUUCCAGAACCAAAGACAUCAGCCCCUUCCUGAGCGCCUGACCGCCCGCCUGCGCUCCUGCCCCACCGAGGACCGCUCCCGCGCGGGCCCCGGAAGGAACAAAAGCGGACGCGGCCGGCGCUCCGCAGCCGAGUCCUGAUCAACCUUCCCGGACCCCAAGCCCUCCUGCGACCUCUGCUUCCCGGCCCAGAGGACAGCUCGCCGUGCCUCCCCAACUGGGUCUCUAGCUAGCCGGCAGGAACUUCAUGAUUGCGCGCGGCCGCCUCCCUUCGGGCCCACCCCCUUCUCCCCGGCCGCUCUGGCGAGCCGGCGGCCACUCUAUGGCUGCGCCCGUCCCACCGGCCUGCUCUCCGCCCGCAGCUUCUGCAUGUCCUGGCCGCUCUGGCCCGCUUCGCGGGAGCUCUAUGGCUGCUCGGGGAAGUCCCCCACGCUCCGGCCGCUCUGGCACAUUGGCUGGCGUUCUCCACAGCUCUCGGCUAUUGAGGCUGGGCCGGCCCACGUGGCCGAAGGCUUCCUUCUUCUCUAGCGGAUGCCGGCGGCGCUACCACACUCUCCAGAACCGUCGCGGGUCUCUUGGGUGUGCGCCUACGCCGGGCCUACAGCAGGCCCGGCUCUCGUCGUCCAGCAGGGGGCGAGCGCAGGCCUGGGUGGUGUGGCCGCCGGGAAGGGCGGACCUGCAGAGCGACCUGAGGCCAGGAGCCUGCUUAAACGCAAUGGGAAGGCCACGAAGAGGCUACAGGGUGAGAAGCGAUGGGAGAGGCCAAGAAAGGAGACUGAUGCAGGUGUCCAGGUGCCCUUACAGCAACUAUCCGGGGACCUUGCAGCUUCCCAGGGAGAUACACUGUCACGUCGAGGAAGGAGCCUGAGCUCUUUGCCCUGACUGCCCUGCCUGCACUCAACUUUAAAGCUCGGCUCAGAAGUCACACUUGACCCUCUUAGGUCCAAAUGGCCAACACCAUUCUCGGUACCUAGCACGGAAAGGCAACGUGAAGCUUCCUGAAUAAGUGAAUACUUUUCAAAAGGCUAUGACUGCCUGUCAUUUACUCUGGAAAUGUAUUACCCAUGGCGGGGUGGCGGGUGGGAGCGUUUGAUACAAUGAUGAAGAUUAAAAGAUUAAACUAGA
Mustela lutreola (European mink) is the source of this 1943-nucleotide long non-coding RNA. RefSeq lists it as uncharacterized. The transcript has 3 exons. The record is from RefSeq and is a predicted model, not a curated record. Lineage: Eukaryota; Metazoa; Chordata; Mammalia; Carnivora; Mustelidae.